UAGGGAAUCUUCCGCAAUGGGCGAAAGCCUGACGGAGCAACGCCGCGUGAGUGAUGAAGGUCUUCGGAUCGUAAAACUCUGUUAUUAGGGAAGAACAAAUGUGUAAGUAACUAUGCACGUCUUGACGGUACCUAAUCAGAAAGCCACGGCUAACUACGUGCCAGCAGCCGCGGUAAUACGUAGGUGGCAAGCGUAAUCCGGAAUUAUUGGGCGUAAAGUGCGCGUAGGCGGUUUUUUAAGUCUGAUGUGAAAGCCCACGGCUCAACCGUGGAGGGUCAUUGGAAACUGGAAAACUUGAGUGCAGAAGAGGAAAGUGGAAUUCCAUGUGUAGCGGUGAAAUGCGCAGAGAUAUGGAGGAACACCAGUGGCGAAGGCGACUUUCUGGUCUGUAACUGACGCUGAUGUGCGAAAGCGUGGGGAUCAAACAGG
RNAcentral lists this ribosomal RNA (429 nucleotides) under Actinomycetes bacterium. RNAcentral's name for it is "Actinobacteria bacterium partial 16S ribosomal RNA". It matches the Rfam family "Bacterial small subunit ribosomal RNA", at positions 355 to 776 of the family's 1533-position model. The record is from RNAcentral. Lineage: Bacteria; Bacillati; Actinomycetota; Actinomycetes.